ACGCUCGACACCUAGGGAGCAGCAGUGAGGAAUAUUGGUCAAUGGGCGCUAGCCUGAACCAGCCAAGUAGCGUGAAGGAUGAAGGCUCUAUGGGUCGUAAACUUCUUUUAUAUAAGAAUAAAGUGCAGUAUGUAUACUGUUUUGUAUGUAUUAUAUGAAUAAGGAUCGGCUAACUCCGUGCCAGCAGCCGCGGUAAUCUGAGCGGGCUGGCAAGGC
This 216-nucleotide ribosomal RNA is filed under the name uncultured bacterium. RNAcentral describes it as "partial 16S ribosomal RNA". It matches the Rfam family "Bacterial small subunit ribosomal RNA", at positions 326 to 539 of the family's 1533-position model. The record is from RNAcentral.